This is a non-coding RNA of Phrynosoma platyrhinos (Desert horned lizard), 72 nucleotides long. Lineage: Eukaryota; Metazoa; Chordata; Lepidosauria; Squamata; Phrynosomatidae. The record is from the annotation of a GenBank genome assembly.
GCCAGUGUGGUACAGUGGUUUGAACACUGGACUAUAGCUUAGCAGAUCAGGGUUCAAAUACCUGCUCAGCCA